Molecule: ribosomal RNA, 274 nt
Filed under: uncultured bacterium
Lineage: Bacteria
Description: partial 16S ribosomal RNA
Rfam family: Bacterial small subunit ribosomal RNA
Source: RNAcentral
AUACGUAGGGAGCGAGCGUUACCCGGAAUUACUGGGCGUAAAGAGCACGUAGGCGGUUGGAUAAGUCUCCUGUGAAAGCUCCUGGCUUAACUGGGAGAGGUCAGGGGAUACUAUUCGACUUGAGGGCUGUAGAGGUAAGCGGAAUUCCCGGUUUAGCGGUGAAAUGCGUAGAUAUCGGGAGGAACACCAGCGGCGAAAGCGGCUUACUGGGCAGUGCCUGACGCUGAGGUGCGAGAGCGUGGGGAGCAAACAGGAUUAGAAACCCCAGUAGUCC